CUGCAACCUUGGAGUUCUCCCUGAUGUCUCUCUUUAUCUUUCCUAGUGCCAGUCUUGUCCAUGUGCUUUCUCUCUUGGAAUUCUUAAUUCCACGUGUUCUCCUAUUUCUCAUAUUUUCCUUUAAUUAUUUUUCUAAGGAAAAUAUUAUCAGGGGCCUGCACUGCUCCCCAUUUUAAUUAACUUGUCUGUGUCUCUUGUUUUAUCACCCAUUUUCUCUGACUCCUUUCUCCUUCUCAAGCCCAAACCCACUAAGGAAAAACUUUAUGUAACAGCCUCAGGUCGGACUGUUAUACCCUACUUAAAGUUAAGUAUGGAGAUCUGCCCAUUUUUAGAUCUAAUCACCAAAAGUGCAAACAUUCCACUUACUCAUGAAGUGGGAGGUCUGUGAACCACAUAUGCCAUAGUGGGUGACAAAUCAGAAUCAACUGAUUGCCUCCUGGGCAGUCUUAGAGCAGGACUUCAACUGUGAUUGGUAGAUGUAAAAUUAAAGGGAAGACAGAGGAAGUGAUGCAAAGGAAGCCUCUUUAAAAGGAGCUGUUACUUCCUUUGAGAGGACAAUUCUUCAUUCUUUGAUCUGCUGACUGGACUUGGGACCCUGAUCCUGAGUGGAAUGGCAGGUGAUAUCAUGAUUGCAACUCCUGCCUUCUUUCUAUCAGUUGAGGCCCAGAAGGUCUUACUCCAUCCUUUAAUUCUGACCUUGUGGGUGUCUACCCGCCUCAUGUGUGUUUCUUGAAGACAAUAUAUGGUAGGGUUUUGGAUUCUAAUCCAUUCUGCUAUUCCUCUACGUUUUAUGGGUAAUUUAGGGAGAUAUCUACCCCAAGCAUAUGAAGACUUCUUUCAGCAGAAUGGACAGAUGAGAAAAUUUUGCUCUACUGGCCAUGAAGACAACAAAGGUGGCACUGUGGAGCUAAAGUUAAAGCACUAAAGAACUUGGUUAGACAUCAGACACCAGUCAUUUACUGCACUAUGGACCACCACCAGACUUCCUAAGUUUUGUCGUGUCACUGGAUUUUGAUGACACUGGAAGAGAAAGAGUGAGGUUCAAGUCUUUGUGCAACCCUGCCUUAUUAAAUCCAAUUCAACUGAAAGUUAGGAAAUCACCCGUGAUGUCAUUGGUUUUCUACAAAAAUGAAGGAUAUACAACAAGAAUAAAAUAAAAUACAAAUUCUGUAAUCUGAUGCUU
Molecule: long non-coding RNA, 1183 nt
Filed under: Monodelphis domestica (gray short-tailed opossum)
Lineage: Eukaryota; Metazoa; Chordata; Mammalia; Didelphimorphia; Didelphidae
Description: lncRNA (ENSMODG00000031989.2)
Source: RNAcentral